Molecule: ribosomal RNA, 276 nt
Filed under: uncultured bacterium
Lineage: Bacteria
Description: partial 16S ribosomal RNA
Rfam family: Bacterial small subunit ribosomal RNA
Source: RNAcentral
CCGUUGCCGGCGACCGGCGCACGGGUGAGUAACACAUAUGCAACCUGCCCGUGGCAGGGGGAUAAGCGGGGGAAACCCCGUCUAAUACCGCGUAACGCGGCCUAGGGACAUCCCAAGGCCGCCAAAGGGAGCAAUCCCGGCCACGGAUGGGCAUGCGGCGCAUUAGCUAGUCGGCGGGGUAACGGCCCACCGAGGCGACGAUGCGUAGGGGUUCUGAGAGGAAGGCCCCCCACACUGGUACUGAGACACGGCCCAAACUCCUACGGAAGGCAGCAG